ACCAAGCAGUGCUGUGCCAAUUCAGGAGUGUUAAGAGAAUGAAAAAAAGUGCUGGUUUAGAGAGUAAAAGUGUUCAAGAUGCUUGAUAUGGAGGAACCUCAUCCAAAUUCAGGAGUUGAGGCAAAAAACCUCACGACAACUAAAUUGAAGGUAGUAUUGUGUGUGCAGCAGGCAUUUCUCCACCAAAAAAUAACUUCAUCCAGCUUCUGACAAACACUGCCACAAUGCCUGCCCAGAUCAACAUGUGGAAGGUUCUACUAGCUGCACCAGAUCAGAUGUUGACCUUAUAAAGAUAAAUACAUCAAUAGAUUUACACCACCAAGCAAAUUACACAUCAAACUAGUUGCUGACUUAUCCACACGAGAAUUUGCA
Macrobrachium nipponense is the source of this 372-nucleotide long non-coding RNA. RefSeq lists it as uncharacterized. The transcript has 4 exons. The record is from RefSeq and is a predicted model, not a curated record. Lineage: Eukaryota; Metazoa; Arthropoda; Malacostraca; Decapoda; Palaemonidae.